Molecule: non-coding RNA, 74 nt
Organism: Potamilus streckersoni
Lineage: Eukaryota; Metazoa; Mollusca; Bivalvia; Unionida; Unionidae
Source: the annotation of a GenBank genome assembly
AGCUCUAGUAGCUUAGUGGUUAUAGUUUCUGCCUUGGAUGCAGGAAAUUGUGGGUUUGAACCCAAGCCGAGUCA